CCUACGGGAGGCAGCAGUGAGGAAUAUUGGUCAAUGGGCGAGAGCCUGAACCAGCCAAGUCGCGUGAGGGAGUACUGCCCUAUGGGUUGUAAACCUCUUUUGUCGGGGAGCAAAAGCCGGACGUGUCCGGCUGUGAGAGUACCCGAAGACAAAGCAUCGGCUAACUCCGUGCCAGCAGCCGCGGUAAUACGGAGGAUGCGAGCGUUAUCCGGAUUUAUUGGGUUUAACGGGUGCGCAGGCGGAUUUUUAAGUCAGCGGUAAAAUCGUGGGGCUCAACCCCAUCCAGCCGUUGAAACUGGGGAUCUAGAGUGUGCGAGAGGUAUGCGGAAUGCGUGGUGUAGCGGUGAAAUGCAUAGAUAUCACGCAGAACCACGAUUGCGAAGGCAGCAUACCGGUGCACAACUGACGCUCAGGCACGAAAGCGUGGGUAUCGAACAGGAUUAGAUACCCUAGUAGUC
Molecule: ribosomal RNA, 458 nt
Filed under: uncultured bacterium
Lineage: Bacteria
Description: partial 16S ribosomal RNA
Rfam family: Bacterial small subunit ribosomal RNA
Source: RNAcentral